GCUUACGGCCCAUACCAACCUGGCUAUGCCCGAUCCGUCUGAUCUCGGAAGCUAAGCAUGUUUGGGCUGGUUAGUACUUGGAUGGGAGACCGCCUGGGAAUACCAGGUGCUGUAAGCU
Molecule: ribosomal RNA, 118 nt
Filed under: Carassius auratus (goldfish)
Lineage: Eukaryota; Metazoa; Chordata; Actinopteri; Cypriniformes; Cyprinidae
Source: RNAcentral